GUUGUGAAAUUUUUAAUGUACUCGCAAGCGCACGAAUCUAGAGAUAGAAUAGUGGUAACGAGAUCGAUCCCACAGGGAUUGUUAUAAAUUGAAAAGUCUAAUUUAAAUCUAAAAUUAAUAUUAAUUCUAACCUAGUUGAGCAAAUUGAGUUUUUAAGAAAAUUAAACCAAUUAAACUAAGGAAGCAAUUAAAAUAAAGGAGAAUUCAAUAAGAUAAGAAUUACCAAGGUUUCAGAAUCCACCACUAUUCAACUAGUAAUUAUCUAAUUAUUAAUUAAUCCCCAAUUUUAGAGUGACAACUCGAAAUCAA
This 309-nucleotide long non-coding RNA is filed under the name Citrus maxima (pomelo). RNAcentral's name for it is "long non-coding RNA (CMAX_LNC002680)". The record is from RNAcentral. Lineage: Eukaryota; Viridiplantae; Streptophyta; Magnoliopsida; Sapindales; Rutaceae.